GAUGUACGCUGGCGGCGUGCCUAAUACAUGCAAGUCGAGCGAACAGACGAGGAGCUUGCUCCUCUGACGUUAGCGGCGGACGGGUGAGUAACACGUGGAUAACCUACCUAUAAGACUGGGAUAACUUCGGGAAAUCGGAGCUAAUACCGGAUAAUAUAUUGAACCGCAUGGUUCAAUAGUGAAAGACGGUUUUGCUGUCACUUAUAGAUGGAUCCGCGCCGCAUUAGCUAGUUGGUAAGGUAACGGCUUACCAAGGCAACGAUGCGUAGCCGACCUGAGAGGGUGAUCGGCCACACUGGAACUGAGACACGGUCCAGACUCCUACGGGAGGCAGCAGUAGGGAAUCUUCCGCAAUGGGCGAAAGCCUGACGGAGCAACGCCGCGUGAGUGAUGAAGGUCUUCGGAUCGUAAAACUCUGUUAUUAGGGAAGAACAAAUGUGUAAGUAACUAUGCACGUCUUGACGGUACCUAAUCAGAAAGCCACGGCUAACUACGUG
Molecule: ribosomal RNA, 497 nt
Filed under: uncultured bacterium
Lineage: Bacteria
Description: partial 16S ribosomal RNA
Rfam family: Bacterial small subunit ribosomal RNA
Source: RNAcentral